ACUCAAAGGAAUAGACGGGGGCCCGCACAAGCAGUGGAUUAUGUGGUUUAAUUCGAAGCAACGCGAAGAACCUUACCAGGGCUUGACAUGGAGACGACAGCGCUAGAGAUAGCGCGUCCCUUCGGGGCGUCUCACACAGGUGGUGCAUGGUUGUCGUCAGCUCGUGUCGUGAGAUGUUGGGUUAAGUCCCGCAACGAGCGCAACCCCUAUUGUUAGUUGCUACGCGAGAGCACUUUAGCGAGACUGCCGUUAACAAAACGGAGGAAGGCGGGGACGACGUCAAAUCAUCAUGCCCCUAAUGUCCUGGGCUACACACGUAAUACAAUGGCGUCAAACAGAGGGAAGCAAGACCGCGAGGUGGAGCAAACCCCGAAAAGGCGUCUCAGUUCGGAUCGCAGGCUGCAACCCGCCUGCGUGAAGUCGGAAUUGCUAGUAAUCGCGGAUCAUCAUGCCGCGGUGAAUACUGUUCCCGGGCCUUGUACACACCGCCCGU
Molecule: ribosomal RNA, 493 nt
Filed under: uncultured bacterium
Lineage: Bacteria
Description: bacterial SSU rRNA
Rfam family: Bacterial small subunit ribosomal RNA
Source: RNAcentral